AAAAAGGUGAUAGAGUGGUUAUAUGAUUGGCUUGAAACUGAUUAAUGUAGGUUCAAAUCCUACCCUUUUUG
This 71-nucleotide transfer RNA is filed under the name Gymnopis multiplicata. Its description in RNAcentral is "tRNA-Ser". It matches the Rfam family "tRNA". From Rfam's summary of the family: Transfer RNA (tRNA) molecules are approximately 80 nucleotides in length. Their secondary structure includes four short double-helical elements and three loops (D, anti-codon, and T loops). Lineage: Eukaryota; Metazoa; Chordata; Amphibia; Gymnophiona; Dermophiidae. The record is from RNAcentral.